RNAcentral lists this ribosomal RNA (498 nucleotides) under uncultured bacterium. RNAcentral's name for it is "partial 16S ribosomal RNA". It matches the Rfam family "Bacterial small subunit ribosomal RNA", at positions 30 to 523 of the family's 1533-position model. The record is from RNAcentral.
AUUGAACGCUGGCGGCAUGCUUUACACAUGCAAGUCGAGCGGUAACAGGCCGCAAGGUGCUGACGAGUGGCGAACGGGUGAGUAAUGCAUCGGAACGUGCCCAGUCGUGGGGGAUAACGCAGCGAAAGCUGCGCUAAUACCGCAUACGAUCUAUGGAUGAAAGCGGGGGACCGUAAGGCCUCGCGCGAUUGGAGCGGCCGAUGUCAGAUUAGGUAGUUGGUGGGGUAAAGGCUCACCAAGCCGACGAUCUGUAGCUGGUCUGAGAGGACGACCAGCCACACUGGGACUGAGACACGGCCCAGACUCCUACGGGAGGCAGCAGUGGGGAAUUUUGGACAAUGGGCGCAAGCCUGAUCCAGCAAUGCCGCGUGCAGGAAGAAGGCCUUCGGGUUGUAAACUGCUUUUGUACGGAACGAAAAGGCUCUGGUUAAUACCUGGGGCUCAUGACGGUACCGUAAGAAUAAGCACCGGCUAACUACGUGCCAGCCGCCGCCGUAA